UUUAUUUAUAGCCUCUGGCUAUAGGAAAUUGUUAGUGGCAGACGGGUGAGUAAUGCGUAGGAAUCCACCUAGUAGUACGGAAUAGCCAUUAGAAAUGGUGGGUAAUACUGUAUAAUCCCCGAGGGGGAAAGAUUUAUCGCUAUUAGAUGAGCCUACGUUAGAUUAGCUAGUUGGUGAGGUAAUGGCUUACCAAGGCUAUGAUCUAUAGCUGGUCUGAGAGGACGAUCAGCCACACUGGAACUGAGAUACGGUCCAGACUCCUACGGGAGGCAGCAGUGGGGAAUAUUGGACAAUGGGCGAAAGCCUGAUCCAGCUAUGCCGCGUGAGUGAAGAAGGCCUUCGGGUUGUAAAACUCUUUCAAUAGGGAAGAUAAUGACGGUACCUAUAAA
RNAcentral lists this ribosomal RNA (389 nucleotides) under Ehrlichia canis. RNAcentral's name for it is "bacterial SSU rRNA". It matches the Rfam family "Bacterial small subunit ribosomal RNA", at positions 66 to 485 of the family's 1533-position model. Lineage: Bacteria; Pseudomonadati; Pseudomonadota; Alphaproteobacteria; Rickettsiales; Anaplasmataceae. The record is from RNAcentral.